This 2095-nucleotide long non-coding RNA is filed under the name Marmota monax (woodchuck). Lineage: Eukaryota; Metazoa; Chordata; Mammalia; Rodentia; Sciuridae. The record is from RNAcentral.
CUGUAGAAGAAGGGGCCUCAUUGGAGGAAGGAGGUCACAGGGACCUUCUCUGGCAGGGUGUAUUUGGUCCUGUUCCCUUCUAUCUCUCUUUCUCUGCUUCUGGGCUGCCAUGAUCUGACCACCCUUCCUCAUCAUGCCUUUCCACCAUGAGAGCCCACCUCACCUCAGGACCAAAGCAACAGAGCCAGCUGAUUGUGAACUGAAAUCUUUGGAACCGUGAGCCAAAAUAAAUCUUUCCUCCUCUAUGUUAUUUUUCUCAGGUAUUUGCCAACAGCAACGAAAAGCUGACACAUCAUCCAUUCUUUUCCUCAUUCAUCCACUCAGUUAACCUCCACCGAAGGCUACUUAAGGCCAGAACCUAUAGAAACCUCUGACAAAAAGACAACGAUGGAUAUUGUUCUCGUGGAGAUUGGAGGCACUUAUAGAAAUGAUAAUCUACCAAAGGGCCAAAAGGAAUAAGCAAGGAAAACAAGGGCAAGAAAAUAAUAUGCCCAGGAAUAAGGCUGGUAUGCAGAACGCACCACCCGGCAUCUUCUCCUCACAGCUGCUCAGGGAAGCCCCAGACCUGGCUCUGGGACAGAUCCUGGCACCCAAAGCAAAGUCACCAAACAUGAGCCCCAGGGUGCUCAAUGGUAGCAGACAACACAGCCACUACUCCUGCUCCUGUGUAACUCCCAGCUGUCACACGUUCUGGGGAAUAUUUGGCCAGCUGGAGAGAUUUUCAAUUGGCACAACUGAUGGGGAUAGACAUGAUUGGCCUCUGGCGAACAAGGACAGGGAUGCUGCUUGACACCCACCAUGCACAUGACUGUCCCCAGGAUAAAUAAAGAAUGACGCAAGCUGAGCAUGCUAAGGUCCAUCGUUGUUCAUCCAUCCAUUUAUCAUCCAUCAUCCAUCCAUUGUCCAUCCAUUAUGCAUCCAUCUAUGCAUCCAUCAUCAACCCAUCCAUCCAUCAUCCAUCCAUCAUUCAUCAAUAUAUCCAUUCAUCUUCCAUCCAUCCAUCCAUCCAUUAUCCAUUCAUCAUCCGUCCAUCUGUCCAUCAUCCAUCCAUUAUCCAUCCACUAUGCAUUCAUCUAUCCAUUCACCAUCCAUUCAUCAUCCAUCCAUCCAUCAUUAUUCAUCCAUCCAUCCAAGCACUCUAACAACUGUCCAUUAAAUUCUGGCUCUUUGGUGAUCACUGACAGGGGCCAGGAUAAGAGGACAUGUGGACAUCUUCCAAAGUAGAUAGAUGAGACAGUGAGAGGUUAUUGGUUAUGAUGUUAUUGAAUUACCCUUUGGGAGGGACUCUGGAGGCCCUCUAUUCACCCCUAGCCUAGGCUAAUGGCCUGGACUGUCCUUUCCAGGAGCUGACUCUCCUUCACCUUUGGAAACAAAUUGAAUAUUCCCCUGGUCCUGGGUUCCAUCAAGUCUGACAUUUAUGUAUUAAGUAAUGCAGAGCUAGGCUGGGAAUGUGGCUUAGUGAGAUACAGCAUUUGCCUAGCAUGCACGAGGCUUUGGGUUCGAUUCUUAGCAACACACACACACACACACACACCCCACUCACAAUGAAAGCCCAGCCCUCUGACCAUGCUAUCUAUUCUAAUCCCCCUCCUCCCAUGAAAUACAUGAAUUAUCUCAUUUUACAGAAGAGGAAAUAGGUUCAGAGAGGGGAAGUAACUUUCUCAAGGUCAUGGCUGCUGCAGGUCAUGGCUGGCCGCAGGCUAUUCAGUCCUUUAGCCAAGGCUGGUGAAGAGACAAGUCUCUGAGUUAGUCCCUCAGAGCCUCUGUCAUCAGUUAAUGAUGACAUUAAAUCAUUCCUUCUAAGGAGGGUGGUGUCCGGGGUUUUAUAACCUCCCUGUGUGAUGAAAGAGUCAAGGACUUCAGUAUUGUCCCUACUCCAGAGAGAUCAAUGGAGGCAUAGAUGUGCUGAGCGAUUUGACCUCCAUCAUACAACUAGAAUGGCUUUUUAUUGCAUUCCAAGGGUCAAGCUCUACGUAUGGGGUAGGGGGGACAACUAGAUGUAUAAAAUGCACCUAAUUUUUUUAAACUUUAAAACAUGCCCCCCAAAGGAAAAACAUUCUCUUGAAUUUCCCUCCACAGAAAUAAAAUUGUCACU